UACGUAGGUGGCAAGCGUUGUCCGGAAUUAUUGGGCGUAAAGCGCGCGCAGGCGGUUCCUUAAGUCUGAUGUGAAAGCCCCCGGCUCAACCGGGGAAGGUCAUUGGAAACUGGGGAACUUGAGUGCAGAAGAGAAGAGCGGAAUUCCACGUGUAGCGGUGAAAUGCGUAGAGAUGUGGAGGAACACCAGUGGCGAAGGCGGCUCUUUGGUCUGUAACUGACGCUGAGGCGCGAAAGCGUGGGGAGCAAACAGG
This 253-nucleotide ribosomal RNA is filed under the name uncultured bacterium. RNAcentral describes it as "partial 16S ribosomal RNA". It matches the Rfam family "Bacterial small subunit ribosomal RNA", at positions 524 to 776 of the family's 1533-position model. The record is from RNAcentral.